UGUUUGAGCCUUAAUAUCACGGAACCUUUGUAGUUUAAUUUCCAUUUCUGUUUUUGGGUUAAGUGACUUGGGAAAAUGCUCUAGAAGCAAUUCCAAGAUCACAUUUGAACAUUGUAGUAGUGUAAUUUCGUUUUCUUAGUGUGGAAGUGUGUUAAGGGGCUCCAAGUGUCACUUGUACUUUCACUUAGGGCCGUUUAGCAUUUACAUUUUGCA
Molecule: long non-coding RNA, 213 nt
Filed under: Vigna radiata
Lineage: Eukaryota; Viridiplantae; Streptophyta; Magnoliopsida; Fabales; Fabaceae
Description: long non-coding RNA (VRAD_LNC015014)
Source: RNAcentral